CUACACUGUAAAAAAUAAUUCAGUGGCUUAGUAAAUUUCACAAAAAUAAAGAGCUAUAUUAACUUAAUAAAAUCUUUUGAAAUCAUUUAAGUGAUAUUUUGAGUGGGUCAGAUUAAAAAGAAUAAUUAAAAAUCCAACAAAUAAUUUCUCUAAAAUUUACAUAUAUUAUUUAAGUUUAUGUAAUGAAAAUAAAUAAGUAUUUAACUAACUAAUUAUAUUUUUUAUAUACCUUCAAUAUUUCUGGUGAAUUCUAAUAGAAAUAUUUGAUAAUUAUUUACUUGUACUGAUCUGUUUUAGAAACUAAAAUUAUUAAGUAUUUCCAACCAAUUUUCCUAAAUAAAGUUCCAGCUUAAUAAAUGACAGUUUAAAUAAAUUGAGUAAAUUUCGCGGCUAAAGUGAUCACGUGUGCAGCUCCGCAGGAAAAAAAAAUCUGCUUUCCUCAGCAGCGACGACGACUAGCCAUACACCUCACAGCUCCUGUUUCGUAGCUUAAUCGAAGUCACCUGAAGGACGGCUUUCCUCAGCAACGGCAAGACCCGCACUCCUCUCAUAUUGUGAAGUUUAACAAGUUUCGCGGCUCAAACAAGAGGCACCUGUCACUGAAGGACUGCUUUUCUCAGCAACGACGUGAACAGCAUUACUCGAAUUUCCUGGUUCAGCUGAUCUACCCGUCUUCGUACAAGCAGAGUUGGCAGAGGAGGUCAUAAAAAUCUACAUCCUUCGGAACAAUAAUGGGGCAGUCAGCGACGUAAUCUUGGGAAUCUCAGCAGAGCCUGCUGCCAUCUUUCAGGAGUCACAUUGGAUUUGAGAUAUCCCAAGACCCACAAAUACAGGUCCUUCUCCAAAAAAUAGCAUAUUGUGAUAAAGUUCAUUAUUUUCCAUAAUGUAAUGAUAAAA
Molecule: long non-coding RNA, 897 nt
Organism: Carassius gibelio (silver crucian carp)
Lineage: Eukaryota; Metazoa; Chordata; Actinopteri; Cypriniformes; Cyprinidae
Exons: 4
Source: RefSeq, a predicted model, not a curated record